UCAAACUUGGUCAUUUAGAGGAAGUAAAAGUCGUAACAAGGUUUCCGUAGGUGAACCUGCGGAAGGAUCAUUACGGUACGCUCCGGGGGGGUGUUCGGGCCGCGCGCCGGCCCGCAUCCCCCUGCUGGAGGCACCUUCCGGUGCUUGGCAGCGCGUAACCCCUUGCGAAAUCCCGCGCCGCGUGGCUUUGGCGGGCCCCCCUCCCUCCCGGGGGGCGGUAAGCCCGCCGGCGGCGUCACGGAAACCCGAUUCUGAAGAAACCUCCGAAAAGGCACAGUCGAAUGACUACAAAACUUUCAACAACGGAUCUCUUGGUUCCCGCAUCGAUGAAGAACGCAGC
RNAcentral lists this unclassified non-coding RNA (340 nucleotides) under uncultured fungus. Its description in RNAcentral is "partial contains small subunit ribosomal RNA, internal transcribed spacer 1, and 5.8S ribosomal RNA". The stretch from base 1 to 73 matches the Rfam family "Eukaryotic small subunit ribosomal RNA", at positions 1759 to 1831 of the family's 1831-position model. The record is from RNAcentral. Lineage: Eukaryota; Fungi.